CAGGUUUCUCGAUAAGCGAAUAUACUGUUCUUUAACUGUUCGUUGUCGUUGAAACCUGAA
This 60-nucleotide microRNA precursor is filed under the name Limulus polyphemus (Atlantic horseshoe crab). Its description in RNAcentral is "Lpo-Mir-76-P3_pre stem-loop". The record is from RNAcentral. Lineage: Eukaryota; Metazoa; Arthropoda; Merostomata; Xiphosura; Limulidae.